This 1073-nucleotide ribosomal RNA is filed under the name Anthopleura artemisia. Its description in RNAcentral is "SSU rRNA". It matches the Rfam family "Eukaryotic small subunit ribosomal RNA", at positions 65 to 1114 of the family's 1831-position model. Lineage: Eukaryota; Metazoa; Cnidaria; Anthozoa; Actiniaria; Actiniidae. The record is from RNAcentral.
AUAAAGGCACUUGUACUGUGAAACUGCGAAUGGCUCAUUAAAUCAGUUAUCGUUUAUAAAGAUUGUACGUUUACUACUUGGAUAACCGUGGUAAUUCUAGAGCUAAUACAUGCGAAAAGUCCCGACUUUUGGGAGGGGAGGUUUUAAUUAAAUUCAAACCCAUUGGGGUUUCUGCCCGGUCUGUGGGAGAUUCAUGGAAACUUUUCAAAUCACGUGCUUUUGGCGCUGGCGAUGUUUCAUUCAAUUUUCUGCCCUAUCAACUGACGAUGGUAAGGGUCUUGGCUUUACCAUGGCCACAACGGGUGACGGAAAAUUAGGGUUCGAUUCCGAAGAGGGAGCCUGAAAAACGGCUACCACAUCCAAGGAAGGCAGCAGGCGCGCAAAAAAUUACCCAAUCCUGACUCAGGGAGGUAGCGACAAGAAACAACAAUACAGGUGCUUUUCUAAGUCUUGUAAUUGGAAUGACUACAACUUAAAUCCUUUUUUAACGAAGAUCCAUGGUGGAGGGCAAGUCUGGCAACCAGCACCCGCGGUAAUUCCACCUCCAAUAACGUAAUAUUAAAGUUGGAGCAAAUAAAAACCUCAUAGUUGGAUUUCGGGGCGGCGCCGCCCCCCCGCCGCAAGGUGUGUCACUGGCCGCGCCGCCCUUCUUCGUCAAAGACUGCACGUGCUCUAAGACUGAGGGUGCGCAGGAAUUGCGACGUUUACUUUAGAAAAAAAUUACAGUGUUCAAAGCACGGCCAGCGCUUGAAUACAUAAGCAUGGAAUAAUGGAAUAGGACUUGGGUUCUAUUUUGUUGGUUUCUGGAACCGAAGUAAUGAUUAAGAGGGACAGUUGGGGGCAUUCGUAUUUCGUUGUCAGAGGUGAAAUUCUUGGAUUUACGAAAGACGAACUACUGCGAAAGCAUUUGCCAAGAAUGUUUUCAUUAAUCAAGAACGAAAGUUAGAGGCUCGAAGACGAUCAGAUACCGUCCUAGUUCUAACCAUAAACGAUGCCGACUAGGGAUCAUUAGUUGUGUUAUUGGAUGACCUCUUUGGCACCUUAGGGGAAACCUAAAGUUUUUUUGCGGGUUU